Molecule: ribosomal RNA, 301 nt
Filed under: uncultured bacterium
Lineage: Bacteria
Description: partial 16S ribosomal RNA
Rfam family: Bacterial small subunit ribosomal RNA
Source: RNAcentral
CAGUAGCCACGGGAAUACGGAGGGUGCAAGCGUUAUUCGGAAUUACUGGGCGUAAAGCGCACGCAGGCGGUUGCCCAAGUCAGAUGUGAAAGCCCCGGGCUUAACCUGGGAACUGCAUUUGAAACUGGGCGACUAGAGUAUGAAAGAGGAAAGCGGAAUUUCCAGUGUAGCAGUGAAAUGCGUAGAUAUUGGAAGGAACACCGAUGGCGAAGGCAGCUUUCUGGGUCGAUACUGACGCUCAUGUGCGAAAGCGUGGGGAGCAAACAGGAUUAGAUACCCCGGUAGUCCCUGUCUCUUAUAC